RNAcentral lists this ribosomal RNA (575 nucleotides) under uncultured bacterium. RNAcentral's name for it is "bacterial SSU rRNA". It matches the Rfam family "Bacterial small subunit ribosomal RNA", at positions 239 to 812 of the family's 1533-position model. The record is from RNAcentral.
CAUUAGUUAGUUGGCGGGGUGACGGCCCACCAAGACAACGAUGGAUAGGGGUUCUGAGAGGAAGGUCCCCCACAUUGGAACUGAGACACGGUCCAAACUCCUACGGGAGGCAGCAGUGAGGAAUAUUGGUCAAUGGGCGCGAGCCUGAACCAGCCAAGUCGCGUGAGGGAAGACGGUCCUAUGGAUUGUAAACCUCUUUUGUCGGGGAGCAAAAGACGCCACGUGUGGCGUUCCGAGAGUACCCGAAGAAAAAGCAUCGGCUAACUCCGUGCCAGCAGCCGCGGUAAUACGGAGGAUGCGAGCGUUAUCCGGAUUUAUUGGGUUUAAAGGGUGCGCAGGCGGAAGAUCAAGUCAGCGGUAAAAUUGAGAGGCUCAACCUCUUCGAGCCGUUGAAACUGGUUUUCUUGAGUGAGCGAGAAGUAUGCGGAAUGCGUGGUGUAGCGGUGAAAUGCAUAGAUAUCACGCAGAACUCCGAUUGCGAAGGCAGCAUACCGGCGCUCAACUGACGCUCAUGCACGAAAGUGUGGGUAUCGAACAGGAUUAGAUACCCUGGUAGUCCACGCUGUAAACGAUGA